Molecule: long non-coding RNA, 613 nt
Organism: Actinia tenebrosa (Australian red waratah sea anemone)
Lineage: Eukaryota; Metazoa; Cnidaria; Anthozoa; Actiniaria; Actiniidae
Source: RefSeq, a predicted model, not a curated record
CGAGUUCCUAGUAUCAUAUCUAAUGAUCUAAAUUAAGGCAGAUGCUUCGAGAAAAGCCCCCUUCACAAAUACUCUUGAUGGUUUUCAAACAGAGUUCAUUACGUCGGAUCUUUAGGGAGUCUUUGUAGGACUAUCCUGSUGAGAUGUUUCUAAGAGCUCGUUUUUGGAGGCGUUCCGAGCAGGUGCACAACGUGAUGCCACACCUCAGCCCGUCAGUAAUAAUCCAACAAGGAACGAAUAARAGCAAAUUAGAGAACCAGUAGAUCUUCAGCAGGAAAUCCACCACGGCGGAUUCAGAUUAUUUAUUAAGGCAUUACACCUGCGAUUCAAUUAACUACUGUGAUCUUCGCGAGAAAUUCAGUUCUUCCUGUCUUCACUAUUGACGUUAAUACAGCAAGCUUCAAGCCGCUUUAGAAUCAAUUCUGAAGGCCUAACGAUCUUGAAGGAAAAAAGAGCCAAAUAACUCUGAUAGMUACUGAGGUAAGAGGCGAUAAGCAAAACUUUCAUCUAAUGAUUUUAAUAUUUAUAUCAUUAAACCAAUAUACACCUAUUUCAAAAAAAAAGUUGUAAAUUGGAGUUCUGAAAUGGGGGAACCUAGAUGAAACGAAAUUUU